This 468-nucleotide ribosomal RNA is filed under the name uncultured bacterium. RNAcentral describes it as "partial 16S ribosomal RNA". It matches the Rfam family "Bacterial small subunit ribosomal RNA", at positions 28 to 507 of the family's 1533-position model. The record is from RNAcentral.
GAUGAACGCUGGCGGCGUGCUUAACACAUGCAAGUCGAACGGAAAGGCGAUGCUUUUGUGGGGUGCACGAGUGGGGAACGGGUGAGUAACACGUGAGUAAACUGCCCUUGACUUUGGGAUAACUUCUGGAAAAUGGGGCUAAUACCGGAGAGGAGAUCCUGAUGCACGGGGGGGGAUGGAAAGUGUCGGCGGUUGGGGAUGGACUCGCGGCUUAUCAGCUUGUUGGUCGAGUAGUGGCUUACAAAGGCUUCGACGGGUAGCCGGCCUGAGAGGGUGACCGGCCACAUUGGGACUGAGAUACGGCCCAGACUCCUACGUGAGGCAGCAGUGGGGAACAUUGCACAGUGGGCGGACGCCUGUUGCAGCAACGCCGCGUGCGGGAUGACGGCCUUCGGGUUGUAAACCGCUUUCGCCUGUGAUGAAGCGUGAGUGACGGUAAUUAGUAAAGAAGCACCGGCUAACUACGUG